AGUAGUUAACAUUAAGAGAUUACCACAUCUCUCAAAGCAAAUUGCUGCCAUUUAAAACACAAGUUUAGCAAGAUAGGAGAUGAUUUUGCCUAUCAAACACACCAAGAUUGGUAUUUUUCCUAUCUUGAGAUAAAUAAAAAUGUUGGUUACUAUUUCUUUAAUAGUUAAAGUUAUGUUAUUUGAACAUUAAGGUACUUUGUUCAUUUGAGUACAUUUCUUAGCACCAGCUGCUGGGUAUGUCUUUUCUCUGUUUACCCUGAUUUCACAACACUGUUUACUUCUAUCAGUUUAGACUAGAGGACGUACCUAAAGGAAAAAGUCCAGAAAAUGUUUUCAUGAAUCAGUCUUUUAAAGUAUAGAAGUUUUAAUCACAUGACCUUGGUUUAUCAAUUUCUAAUAGUUAAAUAUAUAUAUGUGCAUAAUUAAUACUUUUUUAAUCCAGAAUCCUGACCCACAUUAAAAAGGUAAAAAUUUUAAACAAUGCCAAUUAUACAAAUAUGCCACAGAAAAUAACAUUCUACAAUAUUUUCAAAUGAAAUCUUGUUUUUAAAAAUUCAAAAAAUUCUUGUUUUUAGGAAUUCAAAAUUCCUAGUAUUAACCAAGUAAUAAGCACGAUACAGAAGAGACCAUUUUCAUUAUAACUAUUACUAGCAACAAUGCAGUUACACAUGUGUAAGCAUUUAAAAAGAGGAGUGUCUUUGAAAUGUAAAUGCAAAAAGUCAACUCUACUUACAUUAUAAGUUUAAGACCAAUAGAACACUGAAGACAACUAUGAGAAUAUAAAAGGUCACGAAAGUUUAAAUACUGUGUGAUAAUUCACUCUUUAAAAAGACAGUUUUGACAAAUUCUAACCACAGGGACAAAUAUUUUUCCUGCCAAACCACUUCUCUCAUUCAUGGUGCAGCAUUUUACCUCUAUCUAGUAUGGUUGUUCCUUGUUCAUGGUAACACAGGUGACUGCAUUCAAAUGGCAUUUACCAUAAAUUGCACCGAAAUGCCCUAUAAUUUCAUUUGGACUGAAUUAAUUAACUUCUCAGUAGGUGGCUGAGGUACUGAACAUAAGCCUAAAGAAAUAUUUGACUGCUUAACCUACCUUCCAUGAAUUGUCUCUAAAUCAAGGCAGCUUCCAUUUUAAUAAACAGUACCAGGUAAAAUAUAUUUAGUAGGACCUAAAGGG
Molecule: long non-coding RNA, 1176 nt
Filed under: Bos taurus (domestic cattle)
Lineage: Eukaryota; Metazoa; Chordata; Mammalia; Artiodactyla; Bovidae
Description: long non-coding RNA NONBTAT017030
Source: RNAcentral